GCUUUACUUGGCUCAAGUGCUUGGUCAAGAUUCCGGUUUGGCUUGCAAUUGAUUUCAGGAACGCGAUUUCCUGGGGAAGUUUGGAAAUCUUAUAAUUCAGCUCUUGAAUCAUGGAAGUGGUUUUCAGUCUGUGAAAGUGUGAUAGCAAAGUAAAGGAAGUAAAAUACGUUGUGAAGCUUUGGGUAAGUGUGAUUCUUCCUUCCAGUAAGACUGCCCAAGAAGCACAUUGGCUGUAAAUAUUGAACUGUUUCUUGAAAAUAUACGGAAAUUUAUCAGUUAUCAGACAUACUGUUCACAUGUAAU
Molecule: long non-coding RNA, 303 nt
Filed under: Sus scrofa (pig)
Lineage: Eukaryota; Metazoa; Chordata; Mammalia; Artiodactyla; Suidae
Description: lncRNA (ENSSSCG00070011819.1)
Source: RNAcentral